CUCCUGCCUCAGCCUCCCAAGUAGCUGAGGCAUGCACCACCACACCUGGAUAUUUUUUGUUUUUAGAAAGAUUUUCCUAUUAGCCCUUUGGCUGACACCUGACACCUUGUGAUAAUUACAUGAUCUCUGAAAUUCUUUGCCAAUAUACAAAGUGAAAUUUUUAUUAACAACUUGCAUUCACUUGAAUAUUUAGAUUUUGAGGCAUAUUUUUCCACUUUUCUCCAAUUUCAACAUUAGGGUGGAAGAUAAUUUAUAUCAUUAUCCUGUGACCUAUGAAUCUAUUGCUGAUUUAUAUCAAAUAAGUUCAUGUCAACACACUCUUAAAGUCAUUACUAUUUCUGUUUUCUAUUAAAGCAUAAGAGCAGCAGUGAUUGUUUUUAUAUUUCGUACGUAAGAUAUUGAACAUUGCUGCCAGAAUAAAAAUACAUAUCCUCGGAAUCAGCGGGGAAAGAAGACCCUGUUGAGCUUGAGCUUGACUCUAGUCUGGCACGGUGAAGAGACGUGAGAGGUGUAGAAUAAGUGGGAGGCCCCCGGCGCCCCACUGUCCCCGGGAGGGGGCGGGGCGGGGUCUGCCCGCCUUGAGGGCUGCCGGUGUAAUACCACUACUCUGAUCGUUUUUUUUUCACUGACCUGGUGAGGCCGGGGGGGCGGGGGGCGAGCCCCGAGGGGCUCUAGCUUCUGGUGCCAAGCGCCUGGCCACGCGC
RNAcentral lists this long non-coding RNA (704 nucleotides) under Homo sapiens (human). Its description in RNAcentral is "HSALNT0034598". The stretch from base 437 to 704 matches the Rfam family "Eukaryotic large subunit ribosomal RNA", at positions 2392 to 2587 of the family's 3401-position model. Lineage: Eukaryota; Metazoa; Chordata; Mammalia; Primates; Hominidae. The record is from RNAcentral.